AGCACUUUUUAAAACAGGUGCUGACAGAUGUAAGUCCGACGUGUCCGUUUCGGCGGCACGGCCUCAAAACUAUUACAGGCUUUGGGAUUAC
RNAcentral lists this non-coding RNA (91 nucleotides) under unclassified sequences. Its description in RNAcentral is "S15-Methanomicrobia ribosomal protein leader". It matches the Rfam family "S15-Methanomicrobia ribosomal protein leader". The record is from RNAcentral.